RNAcentral lists this ribosomal RNA (252 nucleotides) under uncultured bacterium. RNAcentral describes it as "partial 16S ribosomal RNA". It matches the Rfam family "Bacterial small subunit ribosomal RNA", at positions 524 to 775 of the family's 1533-position model. The record is from RNAcentral.
UACGGAGGGUGCAAGCGUUAUCCGGAUUCACUGGGUUUAAAGGGUGCGUAGGAGGGCAGGUAAGUCAGUGGUGAAAUCCCCGAGCUUAACUUGGGAACUGCCGUUGAUACUAUCUGUCUUGAAUACCGUGGAGAUGAGCGGAAUAUGUCAUGUAGCGGUGAAAUGCUUAGAUAUGACAUAGAACACCAAUUGCGAAGGCAGCUCGUUACACGAAUAUUGACUCUGAGGCACGAAAGCGUGGGGAUCAAACAG